RNAcentral lists this ribosomal RNA (464 nucleotides) under Vreelandella stevensii. RNAcentral describes it as "partial 16S ribosomal RNA". It matches the Rfam family "Bacterial small subunit ribosomal RNA", at positions 338 to 795 of the family's 1533-position model. Lineage: Bacteria; Pseudomonadati; Pseudomonadota; Gammaproteobacteria; Oceanospirillales; Halomonadaceae. The record is from RNAcentral.
CCUACGGGAGGCUGCAGUGGGGAAUAUUGGACAAUGGGGGCAACCCUGAUCCAGCCAUGCCGCGUGUGUGAAGAAGGCCCUCGGGUUGUAAAGCACUUUCAGUGAGGAAGAACGCUGGUGGUUAAUACCCAUCAGGAAAGACAUCACUCACAGAAGAAGCACCGGCUAACUCCGUGCCAGCAGCCGCGGUAAUACGGAGGGUGCGAGCGUUAAUCGGAAUUACUGGGCGUAAAGCGCGCGUAGGUGGCUUGAUAAGCCGGUUGUGAAAGCCCCGGGCUCAACCUGGGAACGGCAUCCGGAACUGUCAAGCUAGAGUGCAGGAGAGGAAGGUAGAAUUCCCGGUGUAGCGGUGAAAUGCGUAGAGAUCGGGAGGAAUACCAGUGGCGAAGGCGGCCUUCUGGACUGACACUGACACUGAGGUGCGAAAGCGUGGGUAGCAAACAGGAUUAGAUACCCGGGUAGUC